CCUCAGUGUCCGCACCACCCUGCGGGCCGUCCUCUCCACACAGCCACCUCUCGGGGAUGUGCCCCUGCUCCCCAUCCCACUGAUGCAGACCACACUGUUAAAAAUAGAGCCUCUUUAUUGGUACCUGUCAGGUCAGGUACAAUGUGUUCCCACAAACACACAGGCUGGCAAGGCCUCCUGGGCAAGGGGACAGGCCCAGAGCCUGGGUUUCUUGGCACAGACACACAGAAAUGAAUAAAUUAUAGUUCUGACACUUAGGGACAAUAUAAAAAUUGAUGUAAAAUUCAGUAUCAGCAAACAAAGGGCAUGAAAGCCAUAAAGAGCAACCCUCACCAACUGGCCUGUGGCACCUAGAAAGCCUGAGACGGUAGUCCAGAGCAUGCUUCAGCUCUGAGGCAAACCCCCUACUCUCUUGGGGUCCCUGGCUUCCACCUCCUACAUCCUGGGCUGGGAAUAAAGGCUGUGGACUUUGGAGAGGGGACAUGGACCAGAGAGCAGGAAGCAGAGGGGCCAAAUAGGGUAGAGGAGAUUUUGGUCACAGCUGGUCAGCCCAGCCCCCGCCUGCACAGCCAUCCAGGAGCCAGGCAGCUGACAGAGGAGACCACAGGACUCAAGUCCACCCCUGGUCUACAUCAAGGCCCAGGCAGAGCAGGGCAGGGGUGCAGGGUGCAAAGGGACCUCACCCCCAGUACUGCCUACCAGACAGAGAAGUGAAGCCAAAGCCACCUCAGCCUCCAAAUAAAUUAUGAAAAUAAAUUACAGUCUUCACAGUCCAGAGGCUCAGCCACCCAUGGGUCUGGGGCUCAAGGCAAAACAAGAUGCCAUCGGUGGCUGACUUUAGCCCUGUCUCAGCGUCUUUGGGCUAGGAACACCAUAGACCCCCCCAAAAGGGGUCUGCAAAGCUCCAGCAGGAGCCAUGCCUUCUUUCCUGGCACGGGAGGGCCAGGUGGCUGAGUGGUGAAACACCCUCCCCACCCUCUUCAGCACAGAAGAGUCAAUAAAAAUAAAUAAAUAAAUUCAGUGUUGCAGGAAACCAGGAGCGCCUGUAGCUGGGCCAGCACCAAUGGGAGACUGUUACCUAUAGACCUUAGAGAGCCCCAAAAUCACACAAAAGCAGCACUGGGGCUCCUGGGGCAGGGAAAAAGGCACCCUAGUCCUCACACCAGCACAGGCUCCAGAGAUGCUGGGGCAGCGUCAUCGAACUGGCUGUCCAUAAAGGGAGCCAGGACCUCAGGGGCUGGCUCAGGCAAGCCCAUGAGGGACUCCAGGAAGCACGUGCUGGCAUCUGCAGGUGGAGAUAGGCCAGGCAUGGGGCAGUGUGGGGCCUCGAUGCUGUCCAGGCUGCCAGACACUUUCUGGGAAGUGUAGUGAGGACCCAGACUAUAAUCCGGCAAAGCCUGGAGCAGCUCGAAGGAGUCACAGGAAGACAAGCUGAGGUCCACGGAGCUGCUCUGGCCAGCAUCCACGGUGGGUGGCACUGAGGUGUCAGGGAGGCUGCUUUCUCUAAACCCUUCAAGGCCACCAUUUAGGAAGCAGCUGGCAUCAAGGUUGGCAUUUUCAUCCAGGAUGCCAGACAUGAGGUUAGAGCCAGAGUAGUUAUGGGUCCAGCUGGCCAGCCCAACAGGGUCUCCAGUACCAAAGAUGUCAGCUGGGUGGAAGCAGCUGAGGUUGUCCAGGCUCCCAACACCCCCUUCAUCCUCGUCCUCCUCCCUGCCGAAGUCAGCGUCACUGAAACUCAGGAUCCGUGCCAGGUUGUCAUCAUCCACGCCAGGUUGGAAGCCAGGGCCAGGCAGGCCUGAGUGAACAGGAUGGUCUGGGGCCUCACUGGGGCCCGACAAUGAAGAUGCAGUGGAAGAAUCGGUCAUGUCGCUGCUGCAGCUGUUGUCUCCCAGCCCGCUGCUCACAGGAGGCUUACCCAGCGGAGAGUGGAGACCAGGGCGGGCUUGCCAGGGGGCUGGGGGCUACCCUGGGCAGGGGCCUCCAGCUCCCCCGAGGCUCUCCGAACCCUGUUCCAGCUGGAGGCGGGUGAGUGUGUGGAUGAAAUGGGUCUGCACGCGUGCCUGAUUAAAUUCCACACGGCCCUGGGGGUUCUCACAACCCUCCUUGCAGCAGCCACAAGGGAAGGCAGUGUGGUCCAUCUGCAGAGAAAGUAAAGGCCAAAGUGAGUACUUUGUGGAAUGCAACAACCCUGCAGGCUCAGGCUCCCUAUCCCAGCCCAUCCAGCCACUGCACCUGGCACUUGAUGCCUGCCAGGCUGCAGCUGCAGUGCCUGCAGCUCCCGCUUCUCCUCACGGUCGAGCCUUCACACACCCGAAGCCCGAAGCAGAGCCCGCCGUUGCCGAGCUGGGUAGGGCUGUAGGGAGUUCACUUCCUCCAGCCUGCCACUUGCCACAGCUACUGCCAAGUCCUCCUCCACCAAAGCAUCAUCGAUGGCAUCCACUGUGAGAGGGUGGCCACCCUCUGCCUCAAGUAGCCCAGCUGCAGAAGGCUGCAUCCACAGGAAAGGGACGUGAGAAGCACAGACAUGGAACAGACCCUCCCCAGUGUCCACUAUGUGCUAGCACUGCAGUGCGUCAGUGAGCACAGCCAGAACACUGCCCUCGUGGCAUCUGCAAAGACAGGUUCUCCUGUGUCACAACCCAGAAGAGGGACAAACCCUCCCCUAACCUGACAGAUCCACAUCCCCUCCUUCAGGUCAGAGGGAUUCAGGGCUCCAAGGCCCAGGUGCUAUGAUGCAGAUGCAUGGUGCUUCGGGGUUAGGUUAGGACUUUAGGUGCUGCUGGGGAGGGCUCUCCUUACCUUCCUGCGCAGGGUUUCCAGCUUCUCCUCCUUCAAGAGCUGGCGGAGCUUCUCUUGCCGCACCCGGGCUUGCUCCUGGGUAAACCCGCCAAGGAGAAGCGGCGGCAGGCACUGUGGCGAGGGGCCAUGCCCAGAGUACAGCCGCCACGGCUGGGCACGCUGGUGAAGCCCUGACACCUCGGGAAGUAGAAGACGGUGAUGCCAUCGAAGACUACGCGGCGUGAGUGCUCCCGAGGAGCCUGCUUCAGGAUGGGCAGUGCUGGAAGCAGGAAGGGACGAGGAUUAGGCAGGCUUCAGGGAGAUGGCGAAGGCUCUCCCCCCGCAGGUCCCCUCGCCGCCUCCACGCCUUGGAAAAGGACAGAUCUGAACUCUGGAGCCAGCCUGGCUGGCAGGAGUCAGACUUGGCAAACUGAACGCUACGCCCUUGUCAAUCAUGCUUGUUACCAUUGCCCAGUCCACGGUUCAUGACAGGAUUCAUGAGAUUAAACAUCUUCCCAUCACCAUCAGCCAGUCCCUUGUAUAGCCUUCACAGUUUGUAUUAAUUAUCUCUAUAUAUGAUAUAGAAA
RNAcentral lists this long non-coding RNA (3365 nucleotides) under Heterocephalus glaber (naked mole-rat). RNAcentral describes it as "lncRNA (ENSHGLG00100049245.1)". The record is from RNAcentral. Lineage: Eukaryota; Metazoa; Chordata; Mammalia; Rodentia; Bathyergidae.